RNAcentral lists this ribosomal RNA (402 nucleotides) under uncultured bacterium. Its description in RNAcentral is "bacterial SSU rRNA". It matches the Rfam family "Bacterial small subunit ribosomal RNA", at positions 975 to 1375 of the family's 1533-position model. The record is from RNAcentral.
CAGGCCUUGACAUCCAAUGAACUUUCCAGAGAUGGAUUGGUGCCUUCGGGAACAUUGAGACAGGUGCUGCAUGGUUGUCGUCAGCUCGUGUCGUGAGAUGUUGGGUUAAGUCCCGCAACGAGCGCAACCCUCGUCCUAUGUUGCCAGCACGUAAUGGUGGGAACUCAUGGGAUACUGCCGGGGUCAACUCGGAGGAAGGUGGGGAUGACGUCAAAUCAUCAUGCCCCUUAUGUCUUGGGCUUCACGCAUGCUACAAUGGCCGGUACAAAGGGCUGCAAUACCGCAAGGUGGAGCGAAUCCCAAAAAGCCGGUCCCAGUUCGGAUUGGGGUCUGCAACUCGACCUCAUGAAGUCGGAGUCGCUAGUAAUCGCAGAUCAGCAACGCUGCGGUGAAUACGUUCCC